Molecule: ribosomal RNA, 662 nt
Filed under: uncultured Lachnospiraceae bacterium
Lineage: Bacteria; Bacillati; Bacillota; Clostridia; Lachnospirales; Lachnospiraceae
Description: bacterial SSU rRNA
Rfam family: Bacterial small subunit ribosomal RNA
Source: RNAcentral
GCAAGUCGAACGGGAAUUAUUUUAUUGAAACUUCGGUCGAUUUAAUUUAAUUCUAGUGGCGGACGGGUGAGUAACGCGUGGGUAACCUGCCUUAUACAGGGGGAUAACAGUCAGAAAUGGCUGCUAAUACCGCAUAAGCGCACAGAGCUGCAUGGCUCAGUGUGAAAAACUCCGGUGGUAUAAGAUGGACCCGCGUUGGAUUAGCUAGUUGGUGGGGUAACGGCUCACCAAGGCGACGAUCCAUAGCCGGCCUGAGAGGGUGAACGGCCACAUUGGGACUGAGACACGGCCCAGACUCCUACGGGAGGCAGCAGUGGGGAAUAUUGCACAAUGGGGGAAACCCUGAUGCAGCGACGCCGCGUGAAGGAAGAAGUAUCUCGGUAUGUAAACUUCUAUCAGCAGGGAAGAUAGUGACGGUACCUGACUAAGAAGCCCCGGCUAACUACGUGCCAGCAGCCGCGGUAAUACGUAGGGGGCAAGCGUUAUCCGGAUUUACUGGGUGUAAAGGGAGCGUAGACGGUGUGGCAAGUCUGAUGUGAAAGGCAUGGGCUCAACCUGUGGACUGCAUUGGAAACUGUCAUACUUGAGUGCCGGAGGGGUAAGCGGAAUUCCUAGUGUAGCGGUGAAAUGCGUAGAUAUUAGGAGGAACACCAGUGGCGAAG